RNAcentral lists this ribosomal RNA (494 nucleotides) under uncultured bacterium. RNAcentral describes it as "partial 16S ribosomal RNA". It matches the Rfam family "Bacterial small subunit ribosomal RNA", at positions 28 to 507 of the family's 1533-position model. The record is from RNAcentral.
GACGAACGCUGGCGGCGUGCUUAACACAUGCAAGUCGAACGGAAAGGCCUGCUUUCCCUUGUGGAUUGCGGGUACUCGAGUGGCGAACGGGUGAGUAACACGUGAGUGAUCUGCCCCCAACUUGGGUAUAAGCCUGGGAAACUGGGUCUAAUUCCCGAUAGGACUGCAGGGUGGUGCCUGUGGUGGAAAACGAUUUUCUAGUGGUUGGGGAUGAGCUCGCGGCCUAUCAGCUUGUUGGUGGGGUAAUGGCCUACCAAGGCGGCGACGGGUAGCCGGCCUGAGAGGGUGGACGGCCACAUUGGGACUGGGAUACGGCCCAGACGCCUACGGGAGGCAGCAGUGGGGAAUAUGGCACAAUGGGCGGAAGCCUGAUGCAGCGACGCCGCGUGGGGGAUGACGGCCUUCGGGUUGUAAACUCCUUUCGACCGCGAGGAAGCCACCUGGUUGGAAGGGUGGUGACGGUAGUGGUAGAAGAAGCACCGGCUAACUACGUG